UCAGACGUGAGUACCCGCUGAACUUAAGCAUAUCAGUAAGCGGAGGAAAAGAAACUAACAAGGAUUCCCGUAGUAACGGCGAGUGAAC
This 88-nucleotide ribosomal RNA is filed under the name Pratylenchus vulnus (walnut meadow nematode). RNAcentral's name for it is "partial 28S ribosomal RNA". It matches the Rfam family "Eukaryotic large subunit ribosomal RNA", at positions 11 to 98 of the family's 3401-position model. The record is from RNAcentral. Lineage: Eukaryota; Metazoa; Nematoda; Chromadorea; Rhabditida; Pratylenchidae.